Molecule: ribosomal RNA, 492 nt
Filed under: uncultured bacterium
Lineage: Bacteria
Description: partial 16S ribosomal RNA
Rfam family: Bacterial small subunit ribosomal RNA
Source: RNAcentral
AGUGAACGCUGGCGGUAGGCCUAACACAUGCAAGUCGAACGGCAGCACAGUAAGAGCUUGCUCUUACGGGUGGCGAGUGGCGGACGGGUGAGGAAUACAUCGGAAUCUACUUUUUCGUGGGGGAUAACGUAGGGAAACUUACGCUAAUACCGCAUACGACCUACGGGUGAAAGCAGGGGAUCUUCGGACCUUGCGCGAUUGAAUGAGCCGAUGUCGGAUUAGCUAGUUGGCGGGGUAAAGGCCCACCAAGGCGGCGAUCCGUAGCUGGUCUGAGAGGAUGAUCAGCCACACUAGAACUGAGACACGGUCCAGACUACUACGGGAGGCAGCAGUGGGGAAUAUUGGACAAUGGGCGCAAGCCUGAUCCAGCCAUACCGCGUGGGUGAAGAAGGCCUUCGGGUUGUAAAGCCCUUUUGUUGGGAAAGAAAAGCAGCAGGUUAAUACCCCGCUGUUCUGACGGUACCCAAAGAAUAAGCACCGGCUAACUUCGUG